UACAUGGGGUGCAAACGUUGCUCGGAAUCAUUGGGCGUAAAGCGCGCGUAGGCGGUUACUUAAGUUGGAUGUGAAAGCCCUCGGCUUAACUGAGGAAGUGCAUCCAAAACUGAGUAGCUAGAGUACGAAAGAGGGUCGCGGAAUUCCCGGUGUAGAGGUGAAAUGCGCAGAUAUCAGGAGGAACACCGGUGGCGAAGGCGGGUCUCUGGGCCGAAAUUGACGCUGAGGAGCGAAAGCGUGGGGAGCAAACAGG
This 253-nucleotide ribosomal RNA is filed under the name uncultured bacterium. RNAcentral's name for it is "partial 16S ribosomal RNA". It matches the Rfam family "Bacterial small subunit ribosomal RNA", at positions 524 to 776 of the family's 1533-position model. The record is from RNAcentral.